Molecule: ribosomal RNA, 370 nt
Filed under: Dikerogammarus haemobaphes
Lineage: Eukaryota; Metazoa; Arthropoda; Malacostraca; Amphipoda; Gammaridae
Description: partial 16S ribosomal RNA
Source: RNAcentral
UUUUAACGGCUGCGGUAUUUUGACCGUGCUAAGGUAGCAUAAUCAAUUGUUUUUUAAUUGAAAACUAGUAUGAACGGUUUAAUUUACUUAAUUAGUUUGUAAUUUUUAAUAGUAAGUUAAAUAUAAAGUAAGAAUUCUUUAAUAAAUUAGGGGACGAUAAGACCCUAAAAGCUUUAUGAUUGGCAUUUAAUUGGUGAUAGCGGUGUUAUUAAUUCACUGGGGCAGUGAGUUUAGGUAUAUUUAAGUAAAAUUAAAAGCUCCUUUAAAUAAAGAUUUCAUGUAUAAGUUACUUUAGGGAUAACAGUGCAAUAUAUUUGGGGAGACCAUAUCUAUAAAUAUGAUUGCAACCUCGUCGAUGUUGAAUUAAAAU